This 235-nucleotide long non-coding RNA is filed under the name Hordeum vulgare. Its description in RNAcentral is "long non-coding RNA (HVUL_LNC006669)". Lineage: Eukaryota; Viridiplantae; Streptophyta; Magnoliopsida; Poales; Poaceae. The record is from RNAcentral.
ACUCAAACCUAAUCGAUUAGCCGUGUCCACGGUCAUGGACAACUUGAGCCAAAGGAACGGAAGUUAUCUGAAAUUCUCAACACAAAUAAUAAUAUUGAUGUGGGAAUUAUUGACAACUCGGGUACGAGAAUUGGUUGGCUGAACCAUCUCGUUAACAACAAACAACGUAGUAACAUUUUGCUUUUAACCCUCUCUUGAUGUAGGAGAAAACUUGCUUUUCGCUAAAAACUUAUAG